This 253-nucleotide ribosomal RNA is filed under the name uncultured bacterium. RNAcentral describes it as "partial 16S ribosomal RNA". It matches the Rfam family "Bacterial small subunit ribosomal RNA", at positions 524 to 776 of the family's 1533-position model. The record is from RNAcentral.
UACGAAGGGGGCUAGCGUUGUUCGGAAUUACUGGGCGUAAAGCGUGCGCAGGCGGCUUCUCAAGUCAGGGGUGAAAGCCCAGAGCUCAACUCUGGAAUUGCCUUUGAGACUGAGUGGCUUGAGUACGAGAGAGGUGAGUGGAAUUCCCAGUGUAGAGGUGAAAUUCGUAGAUAUCGGGAAGAACACCGGUGGCGAAGGCGGCUCACUGGCUCGUAACUGACGCUCAUGCACGACAGCGUGGGGAUCAAACAGG